This 83-nucleotide transfer RNA is filed under the name Paludibacteraceae bacterium. Its description in RNAcentral is "tRNA-Leu". It matches the Rfam family "tRNA". Rfam says of the family: Transfer RNA (tRNA) molecules are approximately 80 nucleotides in length. Their secondary structure includes four short double-helical elements and three loops (D, anti-codon, and T loops). Lineage: Bacteria; Pseudomonadati; Bacteroidota; Bacteroidia; Bacteroidales; Paludibacteraceae. RNAcentral also lists the same sequence under 2 other names. The record is from RNAcentral.
GCGGAGGUGGCGAAAUGGUAGACGCGCUACUUUGAGGGGGUAGUGUCCUUAAGGACAUGUGAGUUCGAGUCUCAUCUUCCGCA